RNAcentral lists this ribosomal RNA (477 nucleotides) under uncultured bacterium. RNAcentral's name for it is "bacterial SSU rRNA". It matches the Rfam family "Bacterial small subunit ribosomal RNA", at positions 28 to 521 of the family's 1533-position model. The record is from RNAcentral.
GACGAACGCUGGCGGCGUGCUUAACACAUGCAAGUCGAACGGUAAGGCCCUUCGGGGUACACGAGUGGCGAACGGGUGAGUAACACGUGGGUGAUCUGCCCUGCACUUCGGGAUAAGCCUGGGAAACUGGGUCUAAUACCGGAUAGGACCAUGGACUUCACGGUUUGUGGUGGAAAGCUUUUGCGGUGUGGGAUGGGCCCGCGGCCUAUCAGCUUGUUGGUGGGGUAAUGGCCUACCAAGGCGACGACGGGUAGCCGGCCUGAGAGGGUGUCCGGCCACACUGGGACUGAGAUACGGCCCAGACUCCUACGGGAGGCAGCAGUGGGGAAUAUUGCACAAUGGGCGCAAGCCUGAUGCAGCGACGCCGCGUGAGGGGAUGACGGCCUUCGGGUUGUAAACCUCUUUCAAUAGGACGAAGCGCAAGUGACGGUACCGUAUAGAAGAAGCACCGGCCAACUACGUGCCAGCAGCCGCGGU